Molecule: ribosomal RNA, 732 nt
Filed under: uncultured bacterium
Lineage: Bacteria
Description: bacterial SSU rRNA
Rfam family: Bacterial small subunit ribosomal RNA
Source: RNAcentral
GAGUUUGAACCUGGCUCAGGAUGAACGCUGGCGGCGUGCUUAACACAUGCAAGUCGAACGGACCCAUAUUGAAACCUAGUGAUAUAUGGGUUAGUGGCGGACGGGUGAGUAACGCGUGGGCAACCUGCCUUACACAGGGGGAUAACACUUAGAAGUAGGUGCUAAAACCGCAUAAGCGCACAGCUUCGCAUGAAGCGGUGUGAAAAACUCCGGUAGUGUAAGAUGGACCCGCGUCUGAUUAGCUUGUUGGCGGGGUAACGGCCCACCAAGGCGACGAUCAGUAGCCGGCCUGAGAGGGCGGACGGCCACAUUGGGACUGAGACACGGCCCAGACUCCUACGGGAGGCAGCAGUGGGGAAUAUUGCACAAUGGGGGAAACCCUGAUGCAGCGACGCCGCGUGAGUGAAGAAGUAAUUCGUUACGUAAAGCUCUAUCAGCAGGGAAGAAAAUGACGGUACCUGAGUAAGAAGCCCCGGCUAACUACGUGCCAGCAGCCGCGGUAAUACGUAGGGGGCAAGCGUUAUCCGGAUUUACUGGGUGUAAAGGGAGCGUAGACGGUGCGCCAAGUCUGGAGUGAAAUGCCGCAGCUUAACUGCGGAACUGCUUUGGAAACUGGCGGACUAGAGUGCGGGAGGGGUAAGCGGAAUUCCUAGUGUAGCGGUGAAAUGCGUAGAUAUUAGGAGGAACACCGGUGGCGAAGGCGGCUUACUGGACCGUAACUGACGUUGAGGC